AAGAUGGACAAUCCAACAUGGAUUUCAAGUUGGAUACAAUGAGGAGGGAAAAUGAAAUUCUUUGGAAGGAGGUUUCUUCUCUGAGAAGGAAGCACAGCCAACAGCAGAAACUUCUUGCAAAGGCCAUUAACAAUUGAAGCUUCACAGUCCUCUUCCCUAA
Molecule: long non-coding RNA, 160 nt
Organism: Xenopus laevis (African clawed frog)
Lineage: Eukaryota; Metazoa; Chordata; Amphibia; Anura; Pipidae
Exons: 3
Source: RefSeq, a predicted model, not a curated record